CCUACGGGAGGCAGCAGUGAGGAAUAUUGGUCAAUGGACGAGAGUCUGAACCAGCCAAGUAGCGUGAAGGAUGACUGCCCUAUGGGUUGUAAACUUCUUUUAUAUGGGAAUAAAACAGGGUAUGCAUACCCUCUUGUAUGUACCAUAUGAAUAAGCAUCGGAUAACUCCGUGCCAGCAGCCGCGGUAAUACGGAGGAUGCGAUCGUUAUCCGGAUUGAUUGGGUUUAAAGGGUGCGUAGGUGGUUAAUUAAGUCAGCGGUGAAAGUUUGUGGCUCAACCAUAAAAUUGCCGUUGAGACUUGUUGACUUGAGUAUAUUUGAGGUAGGCGGAAUGCGUGGUGUCGCGGUGAAAUGCAUCGAUAUCACGCAGAACUCCGAUUGCGACGGCAGCUUACUAAACUAUAACUGACACUGAAGCACGAAAGCGUGGGGAUCAAACAGGAUUAGAUACCCUUGUAGUC
RNAcentral lists this ribosomal RNA (460 nucleotides) under uncultured bacterium. Its description in RNAcentral is "partial 16S ribosomal RNA". It matches the Rfam family "Bacterial small subunit ribosomal RNA", at positions 338 to 795 of the family's 1533-position model. The record is from RNAcentral.